UACGGAGGGUGCGAGCGUUGCUCGGAAUCACUGGGCGUAAAGGGCGUGUAGGCGGUCCGCUAAGUCUGAUGUGAAAGCCCGGGGCUCACCCCCGGAAGGGCAUUGGAAACUGACGGACUCGAGUCCCGAAGAGGAGGGUGGAAUUCCUGGUGUAGCGGUGAAAUGCGUAGAUAUCAGGAGGAACACCGGUGGCGAAGGCGGCCCUCUGGACGGUGACUGACGCUGAGACGCGAAAGCGUGGGGAGCAAACAGG
This 253-nucleotide ribosomal RNA is filed under the name uncultured bacterium. Its description in RNAcentral is "partial 16S ribosomal RNA". It matches the Rfam family "Bacterial small subunit ribosomal RNA", at positions 524 to 776 of the family's 1533-position model. The record is from RNAcentral.